GACGAACGCUGGCGGCGUGCUUAACACAUGCAAGUCGAACGGAAAGGCCUUUUCGGAGGUACUCGAGUGGCGAACGGGUGAGUAACACGUGGGUGAUCUGCCCUGCACUCUGGGAUAAGCCUGGGAAACUGGGUCUAAUACCGGAUAGGACCGCACUUUAGUGUGUGUGGUGGCAAGUUUUUUCGGUGUAGGAUGAGCCCGCGGCCUAUCAGCUUGUUGGUGGGGUAAUGGCCUACCAAGGCGGCGACGGGUAGCCGGACUGAGAGGUUGGUCGGCCACAUUGGGACUGAGAUACGGCCCAGACUCCUACGGGAGGCAGCAGGGGGGAAGAUUGCACAAUGGGCGCAAGCCUGAUGCAGCGACGCCGCGGGGGGGAUGACGGCCUUCGGGUUGGAAACUCCUUUCGCCAGGGACGAAGCGUUUUGUGACGGUACCUGGAGAAGAAGCACCGGCUAACUACGUG
This 463-nucleotide ribosomal RNA is filed under the name uncultured bacterium. RNAcentral's name for it is "partial 16S ribosomal RNA". It matches the Rfam family "Bacterial small subunit ribosomal RNA", at positions 28 to 507 of the family's 1533-position model. The record is from RNAcentral.